UACGUAGGGUGCGAGCGUUGUCCGGAAUUACUGGGCGUAAAGGGCUUGUAGGUGGUUUGUCGCGUUGUUCGUGAAAACCGGGGGCUUAACUCUCGGCGUGCGGGCGAUACGGGCAGACUGGAGUACUGCAGGGGAGACUGGAAUUCCUGGUGUAGCGGUGGAAUGCGCAGAUAUCAGGAGGAACACCGGUGGCGAAGGCGGGUCUCUGGGCAGUAACUGACGCUGAGGAGCGAAAGCGUGGGGAGCGAACAGG
This 253-nucleotide ribosomal RNA is filed under the name uncultured bacterium. RNAcentral describes it as "partial 16S ribosomal RNA". It matches the Rfam family "Bacterial small subunit ribosomal RNA", at positions 524 to 776 of the family's 1533-position model. The record is from RNAcentral.